Molecule: unclassified non-coding RNA, 1480 nt
Filed under: Leishmania donovani
Lineage: Eukaryota; Euglenozoa; Kinetoplastea; Trypanosomatida; Trypanosomatidae
Description: gene:unknown
Source: RNAcentral
CCACUAACCACCACCACCACCAUCACUGCCUCCACGACGUUUGCGUACCGCGUGCUCAACCGUCUCUGUGUCCCCUCUACUCUGCCGAGAACGAGGACGACGGAUGGGUGGGUGGGUGGGUGCUGGAGAGAUGGCAAAGAGGGGGAGAGCACAGCUUACACAAGCAGAACGGAGAGCAAAGACAAGUGUAUCACUAUCCAGCACACCACACACACACACACGUAAAAAAAAACGAAAAGUGAAACCCGCACACGCAACACGCAUGGCAUCGCCGCCAGUGCGAAGAGUGGCGGCGGUACAUCUGUGGCGCUUAUUUAUCUGUGCUGGUGCGACGUGAUAAGGCAGGGGGGCCUCUAAGUAACUGCCCGCCCCCCCCUCCCCCAAAGAGAAAUAAGCGCGCGUCCCUUGAAGAAGGACCCGUGAGAGAACAAAACGGAUAGCGAAAAGGAGAAGAUGUACAAAAAAGAAAAACGAAAGGUGAUGCCCCUCAGUGCUCCUCAUGAACUCUACGAUCACCUUUCCUUGCGAUCAUCGCGUACCAGCAUAUCACCUUCGCUGUUCGUGCUUGCGUGUGUGCGUCACAGCUUGGAGCACUUUGGAGGCGCAAAAAAAAAUAAACCGAAAACGAAAUAGAGGCGGAAUGAGGGAGAGAGUUAAGAUUCGUGCCACUCAUCCCGCACCUUUCUCUCCUGCUCCUUCAUAUGUGUGUGGAUCAGCAUUUAGGAAUGAUCAAGGUACUAACGGUGGUGGUGGUCGUCGUCGUCGUGUCAGCGAUGGAAACAGUGCCGCAACGUGCGGCAACGGAUAAGCCAUGGAGGCGCGCGACGCCUCGUCUCUGUCGCGUGUGCCUCUCUUCCCCCCUCCCCCUUUACCUCGCCGGCUCCUCUUCUUCGUUUUGUUUUUGGUGUGCAUCAAGGCGAAACACCGUGCGUGUGCACGCACGAGCACGCAAAGAUAGAGGCCGACAGGCAGAGACAGACAGAGCGAGCGACGAGCACAAGUAUUUGCAUGUACACGCAGAAAGGAAGGCAGGUGUAAGUGUCUGUGUUUGCGUGAAAGAGUAAGCACAGCUGCACCGGCGGAAUCCCUCUCCCUCUCCCUCUCGCACGCCAUCACCGCACACGUGCCUGUGCGUGUGCGCGAACCUUGAGUUUGUGUGUGCAUCGUUUUUUUUUUUCGGAGGGGGGGUUAUGUUCCUCUUUACCACCUGGCCAUCUUUUUUCUUUUCGUGUCCGUGUGUUUGUAUAUGUGAGUGUGGUCCCGUGGUCUUCCCUUUCCCUUCCACACACAACACCCCCGGCCUGUCCCCAUACCAUCACGAAACAGCGACAACCCCUCAUCUCGCUCCAUGCACCCACCUCCUUCCGCUGUCCUUUCUUGCCACAUUAAGCCUCGCGUGACUUCUCAUCUGUAUUCAAGCGCGGCAAAGGAGCAGGCGGGAAGCAGGGAUAUGCGCUCAUGAACGGGUGCCCGAGCUUCG